RNAcentral lists this non-coding RNA (29 nucleotides) under Rattus norvegicus (Norway rat). The record is from RNAcentral. Lineage: Eukaryota; Metazoa; Chordata; Mammalia; Rodentia; Muridae.
UNCCUACUCAACCAGAUGCACUCAUGCCU